CCUACGGGCGGCAGCAGUGGGGAAUAUUGCACAAUGGGGGAAACCCUGAUGCAGCGAAGCCGCGUGAAGGACGAAGUAUUUCGGUACGUAACCUUCUAUUAACAGGGAAGAAAAGGACGGUACCUGACCAAGAAGCCCCGGCUAACUACGUGCCAGCAGCCGCGGUAAUACGUAGGGGGCAAACGUUAUCCGGAUUUACCGGGUGUAAAGGGAGCGUAGAGGGGCAUGAAGGUCUGUUGUGAAACACUGGGGCUCAACCCCGGAACUGCAUUGGAUACUGUGAGGCUUGAGUGUCGGAGAGGCAAGUGGAAUUCGUGGUGUAGCGGUGAAAUGCGUAGAUAUUAGGAGGAACACCAGUGGCGAAGGCAGCUUGCUGAACUACGACUGACGUUGAGGCUCGAAAGCGUGGGGAGCAAACAGGAUUAGAUACCCGGGUAGUC
RNAcentral lists this ribosomal RNA (440 nucleotides) under uncultured bacterium. RNAcentral describes it as "partial 16S ribosomal RNA". It matches the Rfam family "Bacterial small subunit ribosomal RNA", at positions 338 to 795 of the family's 1533-position model. The record is from RNAcentral.